GAUGAAGAACGCAGCGAAAUGCGAUACGUAAUGUGAAUUGCAGAAUUCAGUGAAUCAUCGAGUCUUUGAACGCACAUUGCGCCCCCUGGUAUUCCGGGGGGCAUGCCUGUCCGAGCGUCAUUGCUGCCCUCAAGCACGGCUUGUGUGUUGGGCCCCCGCCCCCCGGUUCCCGGGGGGCGGGCCCGAAAGGCAGCGGCGGCACCGCGUCCGGUCCUCGAGCGUAUGGGGCUUCGUCACCCGCUCCGUAGGCCCGGCCGGCGCCCGCCGGCGACCCCUCCUCAAUCUUUCCAGGUUGACCUCGGAUCAGGUAGGGAUACCCGCUGAACUUAAGCAUAUCAAUAAGCGGAGGA
Molecule: unclassified non-coding RNA, 350 nt
Filed under: soil metagenome
Description: partial contains 5.8S ribosomal RNA, internal transcribed spacer 2, and large subunit ribosomal RNA
Rfam family: 5.8S ribosomal RNA (bases 1-120)
Source: RNAcentral